GCAUCGACAGCAGCGCAUCAUAUGAGCGUAUUGGCUCGUUCCGUUUUUAUCAUUACUCUUAAUGCGCAUAGAAAAACAGAACGGACCUAUGCGAUCUUUGGACUGUUUGUAAACAGACAUGGCGGAUAAGAAGUUACUCGUUGUUGUGUCUUCUAUUAUCUGCAGCCAGAUUGACGAAGAAGAUUAUGACGAAAUUUCUUCAUCAUCCAGCAGUGAUUCCAAUGACAAUAAAGAUGAUUUUAAUGACGAGGAAAUUGACAUGCGUACCUUAUAUGUCAUGUUAAUGGCGAAUAAGACGCGCGGUCAAACUCGUCAAGUCGAAAAAGUAAACGAUUAUGUGGAACGAGUUAUUCCAGGAUAUUCAAAAAUAACUUUUAAGGAACAUUUUAGUAUGUAGAAUGUUUCCAGAGACAUUUCAAAUAAUUCUGAGGCUUUUGAGGGCACCUUUGAAUGCCACAAAUGCUCGUGGAAGGAAACAAAUAUCUGCAGAAAAACAACUUUUAAUAACAUUAUGGUACAUGGCUACUCCAGAUUCAUCGAUCUGUGUGCGUCAAGUUUGGUGUGGGAAAGGCCACUGCAUUGCGCGCUGUGAGACAGGUAACUCAUAUUCUCCAUUGUCUAGCACCACAUUUUAUUAAAUGGCCAAGAGAAGAAGAGGCUA
This 661-nucleotide unclassified non-coding RNA is filed under the name Harpegnathos saltator (Jerdon's jumping ant). RNAcentral describes it as "uncharacterized LOC112589872, transcript variant X1". The record is from RNAcentral. Lineage: Eukaryota; Metazoa; Arthropoda; Insecta; Hymenoptera; Formicidae.